AGCAUAACCCAUAAUCCCUACUUCCUAAUUCCUCCAGUUCCCGUCAGAUGCACCACCGCCCCUUGAGUAACGAGAUCCUCCAUCACCAUAUCCGCGGUCCCGGCCUCCACCGUAACCACCACCACCACCACCACCAUAGCCACCGCCUCCACGAUUGUAACCACCACCACCACCAUAGCCACCAUCACGGCGUCCACCACCUCCAUAUCCACCGCCGCCGCCACGGCUGUAUCCACCAUUACCACCUCCGCUUCCGCGAGACUGAGCUUCAUUCACAGUAAUAUUACGACCAUCAAGAUUCUGACCAUUCAUUCCUUCAAUAGCAUC
Molecule: long non-coding RNA, 327 nt
Filed under: Manihot esculenta (cassava)
Lineage: Eukaryota; Viridiplantae; Streptophyta; Magnoliopsida; Malpighiales; Euphorbiaceae
Description: long non-coding RNA (MESC_LNC009038)
Source: RNAcentral